Molecule: ribosomal RNA, 366 nt
Filed under: uncultured Latescibacterota bacterium
Lineage: Bacteria; Pseudomonadati; Candidatus Latescibacterota
Description: bacterial SSU rRNA
Rfam family: Bacterial small subunit ribosomal RNA
Source: RNAcentral
UCUUCGGAGGCACCUGCACAGGUGCUGCAUGGCUGUCGUCAGCUCGUGUCGUGAGAUGUUGGGUUAAGUCCCGCAACGAGCGCAACCCUUAUCCCUAGUUGCCAUCAGGUAAAGCUGGGAACUCUGGGGAGACUGCCGGUGAUAAACCGGAGGAAGGCGGGGAUGACGUCAAGUCCUCAUGGCCCUUACAUCCCGGGCUACACACGUGCUACAAUGGCAGGUACAGAGGGCUGCGAAGCCGCGAGGUGGAGCGAAUCCCAGAAAACCUGUCUCAGUCCGGAUUGAAGUCUGCAACUCGACUUCAUGAAGGCGGAAUCGCUAGUAACCGCGAAUCAGCAGGUCGCGGUGAAUACGUUCCCGGGCCUU